Molecule: ribosomal RNA, 155 nt
Filed under: Gigaspora margarita
Lineage: Eukaryota; Fungi; Glomeromycota; Glomeromycetes; Diversisporales; Gigasporaceae
Description: 5.8S ribosomal RNA
Rfam family: 5.8S ribosomal RNA
About the family: 5.8S ribosomal RNA (5.8S rRNA) is a component of the large subunit of the eukaryotic ribosome. It is transcribed by RNA polymerase I as part of the 45S precursor that also contains 18S and 28S rRNA.
Source: RNAcentral
CCUUUCAACAAUGGAUCUCUUGGCUCUCGCAUCGAUGAAGAACGCAGCGAAAUGCGAUAAGUAAUAUGAAUUGCAGAAUUCCGUGAAUCAUCAAGUCUUUGAACGCAAAUUGCACUUCUUGGUAUUCCGAGGAGUACACAUGCUUGAGGGCAGUU